GUGCCGGUCUAUCCAGAUUGAUCACUGUUCUCAUGAUGAUUCUAUGAUCAAAAUAUUUAAGAAUUUAAUAUAUGUCUCUAAUUCUCAAUUCUUUGAGAAUAUAUAUCGAAAGCUAAUUCCAUAGAUGAUUCAAGGACACAUCACACUUGAAUGCUAAAUAAACUUAUCCUUUUAUUGAUCAUAUCAAUGUAUUAAGUAUAAAAUUAUAUCCU
This 212-nucleotide long non-coding RNA is filed under the name Elaeis guineensis (African oil palm). RNAcentral describes it as "long non-coding RNA (EGUI_LNC059552)". The record is from RNAcentral. Lineage: Eukaryota; Viridiplantae; Streptophyta; Magnoliopsida; Arecales; Arecaceae.